GUUUAACUGAAGGGUGCGCGCGCAGGUGGGCGUGUCUGGGGGGCUCCAGAGGAGCUUCUGGUCCGAAGCUCUCAUACCUGAGCUGGUCCUUUUUUGCCCCGCCCCGGAGUCAGUCGCCCAAUCUGGGAGCUGAGAUCACGCCUGCACUCUCUACUUCCUCUCGCCCUCCUUCUGGAGCCGUGAGCGUCCGCGCUUUUUCCGGUGUCGCGGUGCUUCCGUGUUGUCUACACCUGUGAGCAAGCAGUGAGAAAUUAAGUCGUUGACGUCUAGUAAACCGACCGAUCUGUUUGCCUGUUUUCCUUUUCGCAAGGAGUAGUUAAGACGCUCUCCUCCUGUUAGACUGUCUCAUUUCAAAAGCCUUUUGGGUUGAGAUGUGCGUUCGUUCCCUCUUUGGCUCCAGCGUUCCCGGAAUAGUUUUCUGUUCGUGGCCAUUCUACUUCUUUUGUGAAGGCAGGGAGCUUGGCUCCCAUCAAAUGCAUAUGAAAAACUCACGACAACAAGCACUUCUUGUCAAAAGAAGACUCUGAGAUGAUGGUUUGAGUACAAGUUGAGUGUAAGAAGUGGCCCUAGGAAACUCCAUUCAGAGGAUGGAGAAGCGAAACAAAGAAGAUAGGCAGUAAAGCGUGUGCUAUUAAUAAACUGGCUACCAUAGUGGGUGAUUAGAACCUAAUCCUGAUGAGGAACUCUGGCAACUAGUACACAAGAAACAUCUUGGAAUUAUCCCUACGGAGGGGUGAGGAAGCUGGGAUGUUAAUACUCCAUCUACUGAGAGUCCUGAGUGGAGACGCUGUUGCCAGUAUGGUAAUCCCCAGGUUCUGGUCUACGAUGCCUGGGCAAGGCAGACGUCUAGUUUUAGAAAAAAGUCCUCAGGAAUAAAUAUACAGAUAUGGACUGUUGGGAGUUGGUUGCAGCACAAUUAAAAGAGUAAAUAAAGUUCAAGAAAUGAGCGUGGGAUGCUGGUAGCUUCUGCUACAACGGGCAGUUUUUUGUUUGCAGACAAAAGGGUGCUCAGGAAUGGAAAAGCAUAGACUUUUUCUGUAAGAAGCACUUGCUAGUUUCCACUUGGAAUCCGUGCAGCUUCAAUAUAAGGACAAUUUCUCAGCAUCCUUAGUCCUGCAUAGUGCCCUGAUCCGUGCCUGGGUGUAGGCCUCUUUUAUCUUGUCAGGCUUAUUGGGAGCUCCCUGAAAGCACGACCCAGUGCCCUGUCUCCUCUAGUUUCCUCACUGGAGAACCCAGCACAGGCCUGGCCAAACGAGAACUCACGUUCUAAUUGAAUUGAUGACCACAUAGGUGAAUACUGCUCUAUACAUGGACUCAACAGAGAGAGAGAAAAGAAAAGCCAGUUGGAAUGAAAAGUCUUUGCAUAGCUCUUGCUUCUGCCUGCACUGCUGGGUCCCUUGAUGGUCGUGUGUCAGAUUCCUUGUUGUUCAUAUCUCAGCUGCAACGUCACCUCCCUGGGUCAUUCCUGACUCCAUUACUUAAAGUGGCCACCCAGACACUCUUUAGCACAUUACCUUGUUGUAAUUCUCUGCACAGCACUUCUUGCCAUGUGAAGCUUUCCUUGAUGGUUUAUAUUUUGUUGCCUGUCUCCCCAGAAAUACAGGUUAUUUAUACCGUGUUGCCUUCUUUAUAUAAGAAUAAAGUUUCCAUGAGAGCAAUGACAUUGUCUGGCUUACUCACUGUAGUACCUUCAGCACACACUAGUGGAUCACUGCCAUAUCCUCAUCUCAGGAGAAGGUGAUAAUGACAUCAGUCGCCACAGUUUUAAAUCCUGGGAAGCAGGCUUGGAAACCCAAGAGAAAGGCCCAGGCCCUAUGUCGGUUUUUGGGAGAUCAGCUUGACCCCGAGAGCUGGAAAAGGGCUGACAGGCAGAGUGGAGGCUUAAUCUUGAAGCAGGAGAUCCUCUGAGAAAAGCAGUUAAUACAGUCUGGUCAGGUUUGGUCUUUACCUUUUUAAAUCACCUUUCACAACUAUAUUGAGUUCUGGGUCCCCUAAGAGGGAUGGUAGGUGCUUCCCUCUGAAGCAGACUGAUAGAGACAGGCUGGGGCAUGUACCAUAACAGCUAAGUGGCCUGUGCCAACUUCUCCAGUGUGUCUCUCCAGAAAAGGGCCCUCUGGAGAGUCUGGCAAUUUUCUGGGGCAAUUCGGGUAAACUGUGGCUUAAACAGACUUGGCUGUUUCCAGAGGCCUCUGAUUUGCCCUGAUUCAGUUGUCUACAUGCAGACUGACAUAUCCUUCCAAGAGACGAAAAGAGGGGAACACAGCAGGUCACCAACUCCUUCCCUCUAAGGGGGAACUGGACUUUGUCUUUACGGCUAUUCCCCCUACUACACAGGAAGCUACCCUAAACUGCCAUAGGCCACACUGGCUUGCUCAGAACCCAUACACUGGAACCUCCAGUGCUCUGUCACAGACCCUUGCCUCCCGUGCCAGUAGUGGACAGUUCCUACAAGGUCAGACUCACAUUGUGCUAGCAGAAGCCCAUCAGAGGGGCUGCCAUGCAGCUUUUUACUUUCUUCCUCCUCUUGACAUCUAGGGCCCACUUGGCCACAAAGGCUGCUUGUUAGUACAGAGGAGCUAACUCCCCUGGAGGCAACCCCAGCCAGGGUCUCUCAGGCAGACACUUCUGAGACGUUUUUAUGCCUUUAGGUCCAUCCUUCUGACCCCUGCCCCAGAAUUGAGCCUUUAUUGCCUAUAGCGGUAACUUUGAUAACACACUUGUUUAGCGGCUUUUCCUUCUUCUUUGUCUCAACGUCCUCAUGGCCUUAUUCCUGUUUCCUGAGAUCACCUCCCAAAUAAACUAUCUGCACCCAA
Leopardus geoffroyi (Geoffroy's cat) is the source of this 2813-nucleotide long non-coding RNA. RefSeq lists it as uncharacterized. The record is from RefSeq and is a predicted model, not a curated record. Lineage: Eukaryota; Metazoa; Chordata; Mammalia; Carnivora; Felidae. The transcript is spliced from 4 exons.